Molecule: ribosomal RNA, 253 nt
Filed under: uncultured bacterium
Lineage: Bacteria
Description: partial 16S ribosomal RNA
Rfam family: Bacterial small subunit ribosomal RNA
Source: RNAcentral
UACGUAGGGUCCAAGCGUUGUUCGGAUUUACUGGGCGUAAAGGGCGCGUAGGCGGCGUGGUAAGUCACUUGUGAAAUCUCUGAGCUUAACUCAGAACGGCCAAGUGAUACUGCUGUGCUAGAGUGCAGAAGGGGCAAUCGGAAUUCUUGGUGUAGCGGUGAAAUGCGUAGAUAUCAAGAGGAACACCUGAGGUGAAGACGGGUUGCUGGGCUGACACUGACGCUGAGGCGCGAAAGCCAGGGGAGCAAACGGG